AGUCGAACGGGAAUCUUCGGAUUCUAGUGGCGGACGGGUGAGUAACGCGUAAGAAUCUAACUUCAGGACGGGGACAACAGUUGGAAACGACUGCUAAUACCCGAUGUGCCGCAAGGUGAAAACUAAUUGGCCUGAAGAAGAGCUUGCGUCUGAUUAGCUAGUUGGUGGGGUAAGAGCCUACCAAGGCGACGAUCAGUAGCUGGUCUGAGAGGAUGAGCAGCCACACUGGGACUGAGACACGGCCCAGACUCCUACGGGAGGCAGCAGUGGGGAAUUUUCCGCAAUGGGCGAAAGCCUGACGGAGCAACGCCGCGUGAGGGAGGAAGGUCUUUGGAUUGUAAACCUCUUUUCUCAAGGAAGAAGUUCUGACGGUACUUGAGGAAUCAGCCUCGGCUAACUCCGUGCCAGCAGCCGCGGUAAUACGGGGGAGGCAAGCGUUAUCCGGUAUUAUUGGGCGUAAAGCGUCCGCAGGUGGUCAGCCAAGUCUGCCGUCAAAUCAGGUUGCUUAACGACCUAAAGGCGGUGGAAACUGGCAGACUAGAGAGCAGUAGGGGUAGCAGGAAUUCCCAGUGUAGCGGUGAAAUGCGUAGAGAUUGGGAAGAACAUCGGUGGCGAAAGCGUGCUACUGGGCUGUAUCUGACACUCAGGGACGAAAGCUAGGGGAGCGAAAGGGAUUAGAUACCCCUGUAGUCCUAGCCGUAAACGAUGGAUACUAGGCGUGGCUUGUAUCGACCCGAGCCGUGCCGAAGCUAACGCGUUAAGUAUCCCGCCUGGGGAGUACGCACGCAAGUGUGAAACUCAAAGGAAUUGACGGGGGCCCGCACAAGCGGUGGAGUAUGUGGUUUAAUUCGAUGCAACGCGAAGAACCUUACCAAGACUUGACAUGUCGCGAACCCNGGNGAAAGCUGGGGGUGCCUUCNGGAGCGCGAACACNGNNGNGCAUGGNUGUCGUCAGCUCGUGUCGUGAGAUGU
This 972-nucleotide ribosomal RNA is filed under the name uncultured bacterium. Its description in RNAcentral is "bacterial SSU rRNA". It matches the Rfam family "Bacterial small subunit ribosomal RNA", at positions 60 to 1075 of the family's 1533-position model. The record is from RNAcentral.